Long non-coding RNA from Dendrobium catenatum, 976 nucleotides. RefSeq lists it as uncharacterized. The record is from RefSeq and is a predicted model, not a curated record. NCBI's taxonomy places the organism in Eukaryota, Viridiplantae, Streptophyta, Magnoliopsida, Asparagales, Orchidaceae. The transcript has 2 exons.
UUCAACUGCUGAAAGCAAUGGAGUUAUCUGCAGAGAACUAUGAGAAGAGAGAGAGAGAGAGGAAAGCAUCAAGGCAGGGAUGAGGCAGAGCAUGAGAUGGGGUCAUCAACACACCAAUGUAGAGAUAGAGAGAGAGAUGUAGAGAGAGAAAGAUAGAGGCUGAUUGCUUGUGAAAGUUUGUUGUUGCCUUUCCCAUGCACUGCCUCUUCCCUGGCUUUCUCUUCUCCUUAUCUCUCGCCAUUAUCGAAGCACGACAUUGUCCAGAGGCGAAUCAUGACGCGUCACGUCAUUUUUUUGCAGUGUACUCAGUGAAGUGACGCAUUCGGAUUCGUCUCCGAACGAUCCAGUGUUCACACAGAACAAUUUCUCAACGACAUUGAGUAUAAGUUUAACAGUGAUUCUUAAUAGAUUUGUUCUGGGUCAUGAUGAAUUUCAAAAUUAUGAAAUUUUGUUUUUCGCUCUUUAAAAGGAGAAAUUAUUAGGAGUGGAAGCUCCACAUAAUUGUGUUAUAUUUCUAGUUUUUCAAUGCAGGGAUGGAAUGCUUACAGCCCCAUAAAUUUGGGAAAAGUUUGUAUGACUGCUUCAAAUAUUAAACUUUAAUCUUCAAUUAUUUGCAAUCCUGUAUAUACUAUAAAAAAGAAUUUAUUAUCCUAAAUUUUGGGUAAAUUUUCUUUUAAUCUCUCCUUCGAAAUUCUAAUUUCCUCUGCUUUGUUGUGGAGAACUCGGCAGCUUCAUGAAAAUGGAGGUCUCACAUAGUUAAGGCCAGAGAGAUUUUGAUGGAGAAUGGCAAUGGCAAUGAAGAGCUCAUUAUGUUAACUUUUAAAUUUUAUGUACUUGUUUAAUAAUUUUAGUGUAUUUAAUUAUAUAUAGUGUAAUGCAUAUAUCUUUUGAUGUAUUUAAUAAUCAUGAAUACAUACUUGUAAUGAUGUCAUUGGAAAAUUUUGAGAAUGUAUAAUCUUAUUUAAAUUUAGGUUUA